UCUAGUAAAAAUAAAAUAUGACCCAGAACUAAUUGCAAAAGUUUUGAAUCUUUGUUCAUUGAAUAGGUCUGGUAUAUGUAUAUGUCAGAAAAAAAGUUGCACAUAUAACUCUGUGCACAACUUUUUUUACACGCGUUCAAAGUUCACGAAUUUUAACUUUAUAUUUUAAGACCCGAACUGUACACCAUACACGCGGUUUUUUCCUAUGACGUAACAAUUUUACGUAGGCACGCGCGUCAUUGAAAACUUGUCAUAUGAUUUCGUGAAACUUCCGUCGAAACAUAAAUAUCAUUUUUCAUCAAAAAUAGCAUUUAGAUGGCAAAGAUAGGACAUCCAUGAUUUACACACCAAUGGUCAUAUGAUGAUUAUCUAAUGUUCAGCUGUCUCUUGUAUCAAGAUGAUACAAGCCACAUUAACAAACCAUGCUGAUGGAACCAAUAACGAUAUGAAGGGCAUUGCAUUUCGGUAUGUUUAUACUGACUACUGUAUAUUAAAUUAAUAAAAACUCAUGACAAUUUCUCUGUAAAUAUACACAUGCUUGCCAUUAAGUUUUCGGAUAAAGGUUUAAUGUAUUGUUAAAUGC
Molecule: long non-coding RNA, 583 nt
Organism: Ruditapes philippinarum (Manila clam)
Lineage: Eukaryota; Metazoa; Mollusca; Bivalvia; Venerida; Veneridae
Exons: 3
Source: RefSeq, a predicted model, not a curated record